AAAAAUUUAGUUAAAAUAAUAACAUUAGCUUGUCAAGCCAAAAUCAUCUAAUAGAUAAUUUUUA
RNAcentral lists this transfer RNA (64 nucleotides) under Oulema melanopus. RNAcentral's name for it is "tRNA-Asp". The record is from RNAcentral. Lineage: Eukaryota; Metazoa; Arthropoda; Insecta; Coleoptera; Chrysomelidae.